Molecule: long non-coding RNA, 2987 nt
Organism: Equus caballus (horse)
Lineage: Eukaryota; Metazoa; Chordata; Mammalia; Perissodactyla; Equidae
Source: Ensembl
UGCUCAGCCUCAUAGUCUCACUCCCCAGGGGGCACCCUUAGCUGAGGCAUUGAGUUUUGCCCAUUUUCCUUAAUUGGAUUGUGAUGCACACCCUGUUUGGGGACUGGUUACCUGGGCAACUCACCCGGCUGCUGGUAGCAGCCAGGGUGCAUGUAUUCCCGCGGCUGUUUAGUGUCCCUUGCAUGGAUGGGCCACAUUCACUCACUGUCCCAGUGAGACACGCGGGCCUAUUCCAGCUCAGGGCUCUGGGCCGGGUCCCACACUUCACUGGCCUUUAUUCCUGGGAACAGAACUCCUGGGUCCAAAGGCGCUCUGCCCUUCCUGGGCAGUACCACUGUCUUCUCUGAAAGGGAGCGCGUGUGUACAGGUCCUGGGCUGAGUUCAGGCAGGGACAGCGUCCUCCAGGAGGAUCAGCUGCAGACUGGCCUGGGUGGUGGGAAGGGGCCAACUGCUCAGAGACGGAUGACCGGGGAUGCCUGGCCUAGGGUGUGGAGGGCGGUCAGUGGUGUCCCUGCAGAGACGUGGCUGCUGAGAGGGGUGAUGGCAGGUGUUAGCUACGUGGAGCAACCCGGCAGGAGGAGGUGGGUACAGGGCGUUGAGGCUGGGGGCAUCCCUCAGCUCGGCGCCGCAACAGAGUGCCAUAGACGGGGCCGCAUGAACAACAGUUCAUUUUCCCACAGUUCUGGAGGCUGUAAGCCCCAGAUCAAUGUCUGGCACGGUGGGUUCCCGGGAGGACCCCUCCUCCUGGCUGGCGCCUUCUCCCCACGUCCUCAUGUGGCAGAGAGAGAGCUCUUGUCUCCCUUCCUCUUGUCAGGGCACUGGUCCUACUGAUUUAUGGCCCCAACCUUAUGGCCUCAUUUAGCCUUCAGCACCUCCUCACAGGCCCUGUCUCCAGAGACAGCCACACUGGGGGUUUGGGCUUCAACACAGGAAUUUGCGGGGGUGGUGGUGGGGGACACAUUCAGUCUGUAACAAGGGGUGAGGGCCUCUGAGGAACUGGGGUGUGCAUGGAGCAAUGGGCGAGGGGUGUUGUGGUCACCUGUCGUUGUGUAACAAACCACCCCCAAACUUAGUGGUUUAAAACGAGAAUCACCUAUUCACUCAGGAUUUCAGUUUGGGCCCGGCCCUGGGGGACAGCUCCUCUCUGCCCUCUGUGACAUCAGCUGAGGCCUUGCUCACAAUGCUGGCAAGCUGGUGCUGGCUGACAGCUGGGAGCACAGUGGAGCUCGUGGCCCGGGGGACCUUGGUCAUCCUGCGUGUGGCCGAGUGGGCUUCCUUUCAGCGUCAUGGCUGGUUCCAAAGAGUGAGAAAGUGACACUUGCCAGUCGUUUUCAAGGUUGGGCCUGAACCUGGCUGGAGUGUCAUUCCUGCCAUCAUAGAAGCCACAGAGUCCAGGUACAGCUACUGGCCGUUCCUACCAAAGACCUCAUCUUUUUGGGGGUUUUUUGAAUAAAACUGAUAUAUAUUUAAGGUGUAUGAUGUGCUUUGCUACUUGGAUACAUAGUGAAAUGGUUUCUACAAUACAGCUAAUAUGCCCACCUCCUCACAUACUUGUCUUUUUUUUCUUGGUACAAGCACCUAAAAUCUAUUCUCAGCGAAUUUCCCGUGUAUGAGACGGCCUUGUUAACUGUAGUCAUCCUGCGUGCUGCACGUUAGAUCUCUAGAUUGACUCAUCCUACUAAUGGCAGUUUGCACCCUUUGACCCCCCUCCCCCCCCAUUUCCCCAGCACCUGCCCCUGGUGACCACACAGGCCUCGGGAAACGCGCCACCUUUUAUGCUGGCAUCACCUCCUGGGCUAAAUAUCUUGUCCUUGAAGCACAUAUUGCGCAGCUCUUUCCCCAAGCCAGAACAACCCCAGACAGUUAAGACACGGGGCAAGAGCACACCACCGCUGGGAGAGUCGGGGCCAGCUGUCCCAAACGCUGGGCCCCCCUCUGUGGCCAGUGCAAGGGCUCUCCAUGGCUGGAGUUGCAGUGGAGUGUGUGCCUUUUUCUGGGGUGGGGUCCCUGGCUUUGAUCAGAUGCUCUAUGGGGCUCUCACCCAGAGAAGGGGUGACGUGAUCAUGACCACGGGUCUGAUCACGGCUCUGCAGUGUGGCUGUGAGAGAAGGAUAGUCUGUCCAGACUUGCCGAGCCCACCUCACAGGAGCCACGGUGCAUCACAUGCCCGCUCCCCACCGGCCGCUCAGCAGGAGGCCAGGAGUGCAGGUAUCCAAAUUCACUCACAUUUGUGUUUUCUUUUCCCAACUUUUUCUUGUGGAAAACUUCCAAUAUACACAAAAGCAGACAAUACAGUAUAAUGACCACCCUUCCCCACGUGCCCAACUUCUACAAUUACCAGCUCUUAGCGACUCUUAUGUCAUCUGUCCCGCCUCCUCUGUCCCCCUUUCAUAUUACUUUUCUCAAUUUUUUUAUAGACUAGCACACUUACUGAAAAGUGCUUGUGUCCUAAGUGUGCACAGGGUGAGUUUGCACACUGUGAGCUCACUGGUUAGGAUCCUCGUACCCACUUCUGCUGUGUGUGUUGGGGUAAGUGUUCCCACCCCACCUGCAAUUCCCUGACCCCUGACAAUUCCCUGACAGUUCACCUCGAUUCUGACCCUCUCCACUGGAGCCAGCAUCACAUUCCACAGCCCGAGGGCUCGGUCCCACCAGACAGCCUCCACUUCAGAUGCCAGUCACAAGCCCAGGUUGUCACCUGUGCUUCUGACCAACAAGAUAUAAAUCAGAGAGCAAAGGGAUGUUGAGACCAAAAAGUGAGCCAACCACUAUAGUUCACCCCCAGCCACGCCUGUGCAUUUCCUGCUCUCACCUCAUAAGGAGCCGCUGUGAUGGAAUUUACGAAAACCUACAUAAGCCUCUGGCCCAUCCUACAUUUUUGGUAGUUAUAGCCCAGGAAGCUGAUUUUGGUGACCUGAGGAAUCCACCGCAGUUAGUUUUCUCCUUUGGUUUUUUAGCCCUUGAUUUUGUUUAUUUUUUAUUUACUG